This 187-nucleotide ribosomal RNA is filed under the name Novosphingobium sp. RNAcentral's name for it is "partial 16S ribosomal RNA". It matches the Rfam family "Bacterial small subunit ribosomal RNA", at positions 1 to 200 of the family's 1533-position model. Lineage: Bacteria; Pseudomonadati; Pseudomonadota; Alphaproteobacteria; Sphingomonadales; Sphingomonadaceae. The record is from RNAcentral.
AACUUGAGAGUUUGAUCCUGGCUCAGAACGAACGCUGGCGGCAUGCCUAACACAUGCAAGUCGAACGAACCCUUCGGGGUUAGUGGCGCACGGGUGCGUAACGCGUGGGAAUCUGCCCUUUGCUUCGGAAUAACAGUUAGAACUGGCUGCUUAUACGGGAUGAUGUGUUGGGACGAAAGAGUUAUCG